Molecule: long non-coding RNA, 337 nt
Filed under: Phoenix dactylifera (date palm)
Lineage: Eukaryota; Viridiplantae; Streptophyta; Magnoliopsida; Arecales; Arecaceae
Description: long non-coding RNA (PDAC_LNC004127)
Source: RNAcentral
UAAUUCAUUAAAAUGCACUGGUGAAGGUAAUACAUUUUUUUAGUUGAAUUUACAAAAUAUGUGAAUUAAAAUAAUGAUAAGUGCUAUGAAUAAGAUAUUAAUUUAUGCAUUAUUUAGCACUUAUCACACCCCCCAACCUACAUUUUGCUAGUCCUCAAGCAAAAUAAAAUAAAAAACUAACUCACUUUCGCAGGAAUCGCGAUUGCAUUUACCGUAUGCAAUAAGGCUUUAAACCCCUAGGUGGCCCUAGAGGACGAGUUUUGUCUCGUGAGGGUUUCCGGCUCAGAUACCCACAAACUGCUGUCGAAAGUAUUUAUUUUAUUGUUUUAUAAAAUCU